RNAcentral lists this ribosomal RNA (552 nucleotides) under uncultured bacterium. Its description in RNAcentral is "partial 16S ribosomal RNA". It matches the Rfam family "Bacterial small subunit ribosomal RNA", at positions 356 to 900 of the family's 1533-position model. The record is from RNAcentral.
AGGGAAUCUUCCACAAUGGACGCAAGUCUGAUGGAGCAACGCCGCGUGAGUGAAGAAGGUUUUCGGACCGUAAAGCUCUGUUGUUGGUGAAGAAGGAUAGAGGUAGUAACUGGCCUUUAUUUGACGGUAAUCAACCAGAAAGUCACGGCUAACUACGUGCCAGCAGCCGCGGUAAUACGUAGGUGGCAAGCGUUGUCCGGAUUUAUUGGGCGUAAAGCGAGCGCAGGCGGAAGAAUAAGUCUGAUGUGAAAGCCCUCGGCUUAACCGAGGAAUUGCAUCGGAAACUGUUUUCUUGAGUGCAGAAGAGGAGAGUAGAACUCCAUGUGUAGCGGUGGAAUGCGUAGAUAUAUGGAAGAAUACCAGUGGCGAAGGCGGCUCUCUGGUCUGCAACUGACGCUGAGGCUCGAAAGCAUGGUAGCGAACAGGAUUAGAUACCCUGGUAGUCCAUGCCGUAAACGAUGAGUGCUAAGUGUUGGGAGGCUUCCGCCUCUCAGUGCUGCAGCUAACGCAUUAAGCACUCCGCCUGGGGGAGUACGACCGCAAGGUUGAAAC